UACGAGGGGGGCAAGCGUUGUUCGGAAUUAUUGGGCGUAAAGGGCGCGUAGGCGGCCUGACAAGUGGAAGGUGAAAUCCCUCGGCUUAACCGAGGAACUGCCCUCCAAACUGUUUGGCUUGAGACCGGGAGAGGUGAGUGGAAUUCCCAGUGUAGCGGUGAAAUGCGUAGAUAUUGGGAGGAACACCAGUGGCGAAGGCGGCUCACUGGACCGGUACUGACGCUGAGGCGCGAAAGCGUGGGGAGCAAACAGG
Molecule: ribosomal RNA, 253 nt
Filed under: uncultured bacterium
Lineage: Bacteria
Description: partial 16S ribosomal RNA
Rfam family: Bacterial small subunit ribosomal RNA
Source: RNAcentral